GGGGAUGUUUAGUUUCGACGGAAACUGGCUCUUUUAAAACUGCAAGCCGGCCAUGAUCUUGAAGCCGUAAAAUCAGGUCAAAAGAUAAACGGCAAUAAACAAGCCGCUUUUAAUUACGCUUUUGCCUAAUAAGUAAAUUCGUAAUCGCUGAUUAAACUUUCGCCUGACGAGGUUUUUUCGGUGCAAACACAGUUAGGAUGCGUUUUACCAGACCGAUUCCCUGGUAAAAUUAAGAUGAAAGAAUCUUAGUUUCAGUAUUCCCCGUUGAUAGGUUAAGGCUGAAACGAGCAUUAAAGGUCAACUAAGCUUGUAGAAGUUUUAUAGAAACAUUUUCGGAUCCGGGCGCACAUCCCGGCAUCUCCACCA
Molecule: transfer-messenger RNA, 366 nt
Filed under: bacterium
Lineage: Bacteria
Rfam family: transfer-messenger RNA
About the family: Bacterial tmRNA, also known as 10Sa RNA or SsrA, is named for its dual tRNA and mRNA-like properties. Its role is to liberate the mRNA from a stalled ribosome. To accomplish this part of the tmRNA is used as a reading frame that ends in a translation stop signal.
Source: RNAcentral